RNAcentral lists this ribosomal RNA (557 nucleotides) under uncultured bacterium. RNAcentral describes it as "partial 16S ribosomal RNA". It matches the Rfam family "Bacterial small subunit ribosomal RNA", at positions 355 to 902 of the family's 1533-position model. The record is from RNAcentral.
UGGGGAAUCUUCCGCAAUGGACGAAAGUCUGACGGAGCAACGCCGCGUGUAUGAUGAAGGUCUUCGGAUUGUAAAGUACUGUCAUUGGGGAAGAACGGUUUUCUUGAAAAGAUUGAGAAGACAUGACGGUACCCAAGGAGGAAGCCCCGGCUAACUACGUGCCAGCAGCCGCGGUAAUACGUAGGGGGCAAGCGUUGUCCGGAAUUAUUGGGCGUAAAGGGCGCGUAGGCGGGCUUUUAAGUCCGGUGUGAAAGAUCAGGGCUCAACCCUGAGAGUGCAUCGGAAACUGGAGGCCUUGAGGACAGGAGAGGAAAGUGGAAUUCCACGUGUAGCGGUGAAAUGCGUAGAUAUGUGGAGGAACACCAGUGGCGAAGGCGACUUUCUGGACUGUAACUGACGCUGAGGCGCGAAAGCGUGGGGAGCAAACAGGAUUAGGUACCCUGGUAGUCCACGCCGUAAACGAUGAGUGCUAGGUGUAGAGGGUAUCGACCCCUUCUGUGCCGCAGUUAACACAAUAAGCACUCCGCCUGGGGAGUACGGCCGCAAGGUUGAAACUC